GUUCCCGCUUCAGCAGGACACACACUAAAAUUACAAUAAUACAGGGCGGUCAGCCUGGCCCCUGCACAAGGGUGACAUACAAAUUUGCAAAGCAUUCCAUUGUUUA
Small nuclear RNA from Grammomys surdaster, 106 nucleotides. The record is from RefSeq and is a predicted model, not a curated record. NCBI's taxonomy places the organism in Eukaryota, Metazoa, Chordata, Mammalia, Rodentia, Muridae.